This 535-nucleotide non-coding RNA is filed under the name Paenibacillus nuruki. RNAcentral describes it as "Paenibacillus sp. TI45-13ar Bacterial small subunit ribosomal RNA". It matches the Rfam family "Bacterial small subunit ribosomal RNA", at positions 1000 to 1533 of the family's 1533-position model. The record is from Rfam by way of RNAcentral. Lineage: Bacteria; Bacillati; Bacillota; Bacilli; Caryophanales; Paenibacillaceae.
UUGGGGGUAGUAUUGUCUUUCGGAUGAAAGGGGACAGGGGGUGCAUGGUUGGGGUCAGCUCGUGUCGUGAGAUGUUGGGUUAAGUCCCGCAACGAGCGCAACCCUUAUGCUUAGUUGCCAGCACAUCAUGGUGGGUACUCUAAGCAGACUGCCGGUGACAAACCGGAGGAAGGUGGGGAUGACGUCAAAUCAUCAUGCCCCUUAUGACUUGGGCUACACACGUACUACAAUGGCCGGUACAACGGGAAGCAAUAUCGCAAGAUGGAGCCAAUCCUUAAAAGCCGGUCUCAGUUCGGAUUGCAGGCUGCAACUCGCCUGCAUGAAGUCGGAAUUGCUAGUAAUCGCGGAUCAGCAUGCCGCGGUGAAUACGUUCCCGGGUCUUGUACACACCGCCCGUCACACCACGAGAGUUUGCAACACCCGAAGUCGGUGGGGUAACCUGCAAAGGAGCCAGCCGCCGAAGGUGGGGUAGAUGAUUGGGGUGAAGUCGUAACAAGGUAGCCGUAUCGGAAGGUGCGGCUGGAUCACCUCCUUU